AACGAACGCUGGCGGCAGGCUUAACACAUGCAAGUCGAGCGAGACCUUCGGGUCUAGCGGCGGACGGGUGCGUAACGCGUGGGAACGUGCCCUUCUCUACGGAAUAGCCCCGGGAAACUGGGAGUAAUACCGUAUACGCCCUUUGGGGGAAAGAUUUAUCGGAGAAGGAUCGGCCCGCGUUGGAUUAGGUAGUUGGUAGGGUACUGGCCCACCAAGCCGACGAUCCAUAGCUGGUUUGAGAGGAUGAUCAGCCACACUGGGACUGAGACACGGCCCAGACUCCUACGGGACGCAGCAGUGGGGAAUCUUAGACAAGGGGGGCAACCCUGAUCUAGCCAUGCCGCGUGAGUGAUGAAGGCCUUAGGGUUGUAAAGCUCUUUCAGCUGGGAAGAUAAUGACGGUACCAGCAGAAGAAGCCCCGGCUAACUCCGUG
RNAcentral lists this ribosomal RNA (433 nucleotides) under uncultured bacterium. RNAcentral's name for it is "partial 16S ribosomal RNA". It matches the Rfam family "Bacterial small subunit ribosomal RNA", at positions 29 to 507 of the family's 1533-position model. The record is from RNAcentral.